This 478-nucleotide ribosomal RNA is filed under the name uncultured bacterium. RNAcentral describes it as "partial 16S ribosomal RNA". It matches the Rfam family "Bacterial small subunit ribosomal RNA", at positions 28 to 523 of the family's 1533-position model. The record is from RNAcentral.
GACGAACGCUGGCGGCGUGCUUAACACAUGCAAGUCGAACGGUAAGGCCCUUCGGGGUACACGAGUGGCGAACGGGUGAGUAACACGUGGGCGAUCUGCCCUGCACUUCGGGAUAAGCGUGGGAAACUGGGUCUAAUACCGGAUAGGACCACUGCCUGCAUGGGUGGUGGUGGAAAGCUUUUGCGGGGUGGGAUGGGCCCGCGGCCUAUCAGCUUGUUGGAGGGGUGAUGGCCUACCAAGGCGACGACGGGUAGCCGGCCUGAGAGGGUGACCGGCCACACUGGGACUGAGAUACGGCCCAGACUCCUACGGGAGGCAGCAGUGGGGAAUAUUGCACAAUGGGCGCAAGCCUGAUGCAGCGACGCCGCGUGAGGGAUGACGGCCUUCGGGUUGUAAACCUCUUUCAGCACCGACGAAGCGCAAGUGACGGUAGGUGCAGAAGAAGGACCGGCCAACUACGUGCCAGCCGCCGCCGUAA